GAGAGAAGUUAACCACUUCUGGAAACUGGUGGAAAGCAUUUCAUCAUGAGGAAUGGAAAAGAAGACAAAACACAGGGCAUUUGGAAAUUCCCUUUGAUCAUUUGCCAUGGAAGCCAUGCAGCUCGUGGCAAGGCUGCAUGAACAGUGUAAUGCAGAAUUGGGAGACUGGAUUGGCAGCCACACUAAGAAGCACUCUGCCUCUAAAGAUUUCCAGUACAAGAAACACAAGAAGCAGUGAGGAAAUAAGGCUUCAAGUGUGGUCUCGUUCUUCCAUUAUACUUCCUUCAAGAUCAUUAGAAUUGGUCCUGCUUUGCUGGAACUGGUUUAUGGACAGGGGUGUUAUGCAGAAGAUGCAAUCCAGUAUUUCAAGUGGUAAAACCGGGCUAUUGACUAGGAAAAUUAAAAGAAAGAUUGACUGUGAAGAAAAUUCCAUUUUCUGAAAAACAGAGUGGCAAAAUGAAAAUUUGACCUUGUUUAGCUGUAUUUCUUUGCUCUAUCAAAAUUCAUAAAUUUGCUUUGCAAGAAGGUAUCUUCAUCAUAAGAAGUGAGCUGAACAAAUUACAUGGCCAAAGAAAGAUGAACUGUAAAAAACUAGAUCAGUUUAACAGGUCUCAUUUAAUUAUACUGUUGAGAAAAAUAACAACCGUGUAAUGUUUUGCUUUUUUCGUGUGCCUUUCAUGUUAAGUCCACAACAAUGGAGAUACCUUAAAUGUUUCACAAUCCUGUCCUUGAAUACUGACUUUUACAUAGGAAAAUGGGAAAAUUCACAUCCUCUAUGCUUCACCUUCUGUGGUGGAACAAGAUUAUGAUGAGCAACUCCAGAGAUUAAAUCCUGAAAAAAAAAAUAAAUUAUUUGAAUUACUAUUACA
RNAcentral lists this long non-coding RNA (869 nucleotides) under Cyanistes caeruleus (blue tit). Its description in RNAcentral is "lncRNA (ENSCCEG00000009869.1)". The record is from RNAcentral. Lineage: Eukaryota; Metazoa; Chordata; Aves; Passeriformes; Paridae.